UACGUAGGGCGCAAGCGUUGUCCGGAAUUAUUGGGCGUAAAGAGCUCGUAGGCGGUUUGUUGCGUCGGCUGUGAAAUCCCGGGGCUCAACCUCGGGUCUGCAGUCGAUACGAGCAAACUAGAGUGUUGCAGGGGAGACUGGAAUUCCUGGUGUAGCGGUGAAAUGCGCAGAUAUCAGGAGGAACACCGGUGGCGAAGGCGGGUCUCUGGGCAACAACUGACGCUGAGGAGCGAAAGCGUGGGGAGCGAACAGG
Molecule: ribosomal RNA, 253 nt
Filed under: uncultured bacterium
Lineage: Bacteria
Description: partial 16S ribosomal RNA
Rfam family: Bacterial small subunit ribosomal RNA
Source: RNAcentral